This 344-nucleotide transfer-messenger RNA is filed under the name uncultured Bradyrhizobium sp. RNAcentral describes it as "Alphaproteobacteria transfer-messenger RNA". It matches the Rfam family "Alphaproteobacteria transfer-messenger RNA". Rfam says of the family: Bacterial tmRNA, also known as 10Sa RNA or SsrA, is named for its dual tRNA and mRNA-like properties. The record is from RNAcentral. Lineage: Bacteria; Pseudomonadati; Pseudomonadota; Alphaproteobacteria; Hyphomicrobiales; Nitrobacteraceae.
GCUUUGCCGCUAUAUUGGGGGUGCCGGUUCGCCGGCUAUGGAAAUAAAUGGCCGUCGCAAUAAACCAUUCGGACCCGGGGGCGGUACCCGGCGCCUCCACCAAAACCCAUCUAAGCCCCCUUCGGUGGCUUUUGGCGGGGGCGAAAUAGGAUCGACGAGGGCGUAAAGGGCGUGUUUUUUCUCGGUAUGGUUCCGCCGUUAUCGGGCUAAUGCAAUAGUUGCCAACGACAACUUUGCUCCGGUUGCUCAGGCUGCGUAACGCAGUUUGAAAGACCAUCUUAAAGUCCUAACGGGUUAAGCUCCGUUAGGCGGGGUUCGGAGGCACCUGGCAACAGAAGCCUCCA